Molecule: long non-coding RNA, 1051 nt
Filed under: Lynx pardinus (Iberian lynx)
Lineage: Eukaryota; Metazoa; Chordata; Mammalia; Carnivora; Felidae
Source: RNAcentral
GCUCUCCUCUCCUGCUAAGCUUUGUUCCCUGGCAGUAAUUAAAACCUUCUGCCACUGCCAUAGCUACUGCUGCUGCUGGGACCGCCAUAGCCGCCUUGGUUUCGUGGUUUGGCAAAGUAUUGGCCUCCACCACCAUAGGGGCCAGAGCUUCUGCCUCCAAAAUUUCCUCCUUUCAUGGGUCCAAAAUGUGAAGAUUGAUUGUUGUAAUUGCCAAAAUCAUUAUGGCUUCCACCACCUCCAAAGUUGCUUCCAUUGUUACCAAAUCCGUUAUAGCCAUCCCCACUCCCACCACCACCUCGACUGCCGCCAAAGCCACUCGCCCACUGAAGUUUCCUCCACGGCCAAAGUUGUCAUUCCCACCAAAACCACCUCCACGACCACCACCGAAGUUCCCAGGACCACUUCGACCUCUUUGGCUGGAGGAAGCACUAGCCAUCUCUUGCUUAGAUAAAGCUUUCCUUACUUCACAGUUGUGGCCGUUCACAGCACGGCAUUUUUGAAUGACAAUCUUGUCUACAGAGUCAGGGUCGUCAAAGGUCACAAAAGCAAAGCCUCUCUUUUUGCCACUGCCUCGGUCAGUCAUGAUUUCAAUCACUUCAAUUUUCCCAUACUGUUCAAAAGAAUCUCUUAGAUGAUGUUUUUCAGUGUCUUCUUUAAUGCCACCGACAAAAAUCUUUUUCACAGUUAAGUGGGCACCAGGUCUUUGAAAAUCUUCUCUAGAGACAGUCCUCUUUGGUUCUACAACUCUUCCAUCCACCUUGUGUGGCCUUGCAUUCAUGGCUGCAUCCACCUCUUCCACAGUGGCAUAGGUGACAAACCCAAAGCCUCUGGAACGCUUGGUAUUUGGAUCUCUCAUUACCACACAGUCCAUAAGCGUUCCCCAUUGCUCAAAAUGGCUCCUCAGACUCUCAUCGGUUGUUUCAAAGCUCAAACCUCCAAUGAAAAGCUUCUGCAGCUGUUAGGGCUCUUUGGGAGACUCUGACUUAGACAUGACGGCGGGGGGAGGGGAGACUUUCACGAUGCUUACUUGGCGGCGUCCACGGGCAGAAAG